RNAcentral lists this ribosomal RNA (496 nucleotides) under uncultured bacterium. Its description in RNAcentral is "partial 16S ribosomal RNA". It matches the Rfam family "Bacterial small subunit ribosomal RNA", at positions 28 to 507 of the family's 1533-position model. The record is from RNAcentral.
GAUGAACGCUGGCGGCGUGCCUAAUACAUGCAAGUCGAGCGAACAGACGAGGAGCUUGCUCCUCUGACGUUAGCGGCGGACGGGUGAGUAACACGUGGAUAACCUACCUAUAAGACUGGGAUAACUUCGGGAAACCGGAGCUAAUACCGGAUAAUAUAUUGAACCGCAUGGUUCAAUAGUGAAAGACGGUUUUGCUGUCACUUAUAGAUGGAUCCGCGCCGCAUUAGCUAGUUGGUAAGGUAACGGCUUACCAAGGCAACGAUGCGUAGCCGACCUGAGAGGGUGACAGGCAAAACUGAAACGGAAAAAGGGUCAAGACUCUACGGGAGGCAGCAGUAGGGAAUCUUCCGCAAUGGGCGAAAGCCUGACGGAGCAACGCCGCGUGAGUGAUGAAGGUCUUCGGAUCGUAAAACUCUGUUAUUAGGGAAGAACAAAUGUGUAAGUAACUAUGCACGUCUUGACGGUACCUAAUCAGAAAGCCACGGCUAACUACGUG